This 2281-nucleotide small RNA is filed under the name Rattus norvegicus (Norway rat). RNAcentral's name for it is "uncharacterized LOC102548472". The record is from RNAcentral. Lineage: Eukaryota; Metazoa; Chordata; Mammalia; Rodentia; Muridae.
UUCAAGGCCUUCCCUGACAGAGCCCGCCCCUCGCAGGCCUGGAGGUUUCUCUGCAAAGGAAACAAACAUUCAAACCUCCGAAUGGCGUGGGUCUUCUCUAGGGUGUGUGCCUGUCAACAAGUCACCAGUUCUGGAAGAGCUAAGGGGAAUGUGUGAGUUGCAGGGAGCCCACGGAGGGCUUUUCCUGGAGAAGGCUGUUUACCAGGAGGCGCGUGCUUGCUUCCAGGAAGAGAAAACCCUGUUACACAGAGGAUGAAUUGAUUUAUGCAGACAGUUUAAAGGGUGUUCGCAGCUCUGAGGAAUGCAAGCGGCAGCAUGAUUUGAAGAGAUAACUACUAACCUGAGCUCAGAGUUUAUCAUUCCGGUUCAUUGAACAAAAGAGUCAUGGGACCAAAGAGAUGGCUCAGCAGUCUCUGCUGGCAAAUCUGCUGUCUAGACAUCCAAGUUUCUCUUGAUGAACGUUGUUUGCUCCGACUUCUUCUCCAGCAUAAACAAGAUUCGAUCACAGCCAGGCCAUUUCUUUGGUUUUUUUCAACCUGUUAAACAUGUACACAGUGAUUUCCACCACUCUCACCAGAAAUGCUCUGAAGAAGGACAAUUCGGUUCUAAAUAAAAGCACUUUUUGAUCAUCUCCAUGGUAAUCCUAUUGGCUGAAUCACUUCUUUUGUUGCCAGAACAGUUAAUAUCCUCAGGAUGCAAUAAAAACCUUUACAUUACUAUUUUUGUGUGCGUGUGUGUACACAUAUACAUUCAGGUGCAUGUGUGUGUCCUGGUGCACAAACAUGUGUGGCAGUGCAUGUGGAGCAAUGUCAGCUGAUAUCCCUCAGAUGCAGUCCUUAUUUCUUUGAGACAAGAUUCCUCAUUGGCUUAGGAUUUGCCGAGUAGGUUAGGCUGGCUGGCCCACUUACCCCUGCCUCCUCAGUACUGAGAUUGCAAGCAUAUUCCUGCCCUGUGUAUAGAUUCGAGAUUGACCUUGGAUCUACCGAGCAAGCAGUCUGUAGAAUGGGAUUCGUCCUCAGCUGCAAGUCCUUCAGGGACUUGGAUGGUAAAGGGAAGGAAGAAAAGGCAAACACACAGAGACACAUGGAUGUAGAGAGACUCUCUUAUGUACCGUGUGGAAGCAUCACCUGUCAAUAAACACCUCAUAAUCCAAUACCUGAGGCAGGAAAUAAAAGGUCCAGAGAGAGAGGAAUUCUGGGAAAGAGUGACAGCAGAGGAUUUCACCCUGGGCUCUUGAGACAGAUGAACUGAGGAGAGGUAACUGUGGAAGACAGAGACUAGAACAAGCGGAUGGUAUAAGUUAUGAGCUAGUUGGAAAAGAAACCAAAGCUUGGGCCUAGGUAUUUAUUCAUUCAAGGUUCCUCACUGACUUCAAAUUUACCAAAUAGGUUAGGCUGGGUAGAAGAUUUCGUGGCUACACUUGGAUGUGCAGAAAAGCUAGGGUUGGGUCUGGGAUCUUGGAUGGAGAAACUGUAGCAUCCUGGAAGGUCAGCGUGCUUAUUAUAUAGAGUUCAACAGACAGACAGGGUUAAUGUGUUUAGUUGAACGAGGAGAUAUGGUUUCUUUGGUGUAGGGGAGGGUUUGUCAUUCCUCCAUGUGUCUGACGUUGCUAUGCCCAUGUCAGCAACAUCCAGAGCCUUACACACUCAGGGCUUUCUUUCCUCCUCGCACGCCUCCCUUAUUUCAUGUCUAAUGGUCUUCCUGCCAAGGCAUGGUGUAGCCGCAUCAUCUUCCCAUCUGGGGUGACCCGGUGUUGCAAACCCAUUAUUGUACACAGUUCUGCUCUUUCGGCUGUCACCGUCAACUGCUGGCUAUAGGCCCCAACAAGUUACUUCCCCUUUGGCAUCUGUUUACUCCUCAGCAAAAUGGAGCCGACAGAGCUAAGCAGUCCAUUGCAAGCCCGGAACAAAGGAUUCAACUAUUUCACUCGAGUUGCUUUAUUUUAUGACCUCUUUCCCUGGGUGUUGAUCAGUAUUGCUUCCAUUGUAGAGAUGGUUAGACAGACGGAGGGAGCGCUGAAAUAAAUCCCUCAGGUCACAAUCAACGAUAGACCAAUCCAUGAUUCAACCGAGUGGGCUUUUCCCAGAGCCUGCUCACUUUAAGAUCAUUCUCUCUCUCUCUCUCUCUCUCUCUCUCUCUCUCUCUCUCUCUCUCUCUCUCUCUCUGGCUUUUAUCAGCUCAAUUUAAACUUGUGAACAUUGUGACAUUUCAGUUCUAAAUACUUCGGAAUUAUCACACUUAACAGUAAUUUAAGAUCACCUAACAUACAGUGUGUGUGUGU